UACGUAGGGUGCGAGCGUUAAUCGGAAUUACUGGGCGUAAAGCGUGCGCAGGCGGUCUUGCAAGACAGAUGUGAAAUCCCCGGGCUCAACCUGGGAACUGCAUUUGUGACUGCAAGGCUGGAGUGCGGCAGAGGGGGAUGGAAUUCCGCGUGUAGCAGUGAAAUGCGUAGAUAUGCGGAGGAACACCGAUGGCGAAGGCAAUCCCCUGGGCCUGCACUGACGCUCAUGCACGAAAGCGUGGGGAGCAAAUGGG
Molecule: ribosomal RNA, 253 nt
Filed under: uncultured bacterium
Lineage: Bacteria
Description: partial 16S ribosomal RNA
Rfam family: Bacterial small subunit ribosomal RNA
Source: RNAcentral